This 1420-nucleotide ribosomal RNA is filed under the name uncultured bacterium. Its description in RNAcentral is "bacterial SSU rRNA". It matches the Rfam family "Bacterial small subunit ribosomal RNA". The record is from RNAcentral.
AGAGUUUGAUCCUGGCUCAGAUUGAACGCUGGCGGCAGGCCUAACACAUGCAAGUCGAGCGGUAGCACAGAGAGCUUGCUCUCGGGUGACGAGCGGCGGACGGGUGAGUAAUGUCUGGGAAACUGCCUGAUGGAGGGGGAUAACUACUGGAAACGGUAGCUAAUACCGCAUAAUGUCGCAAGACCAAAGUGGGGGACCUUCGGGCCUCAUGCCAUCAGAUGUGCCCAGAUGGGAUUAGCUAGUAGGUGGGGUAACGGCUCACCUAGGCGACGAUCCCUAGCUGGUCUGAGAGGAUGACCAGCCACACUGGAACUGAGACACGGUCCAGACUCCUACGGGAGGCAGCAGUGGGGAAUAUUGCACAAUGGGCGCAAGCCUGAUGCAGCCAUGCCGCGUGUGUGAAGAAGGCCUUCGGGUUGUAAAGCACUUUCAGCGGGGAGGAAGGCGUUAAGGUUAAUAACCUUGGCGAUUGACGUUACCCGCAGAAGAAGCACCGGCUAACUCCGUGCCAGCAGCCGCGGUAAUACGGAGGGUGCAAGCGUUAAUCGGAAUUACUGGGCGUAAAGCGCACGCAGGCGGUCUGUCAAGUCGGAUGUGAAAUCCCCGGGCUCAACCUGGGAACUGCAUUCGAAACUGGCAGGCUAGAGUCUUGUAGAGGGGGGUAGAAUUCCAGGUGUAGCGGUGAAAUGCGUAGAGGUCUGGAGGAAUACCGGUGGCGAAGGCGGCCCCCUGGACAAAGACUGACGCUCAGGUGCGAAAGCGUGGGGAGCAAACAGGAUUAGAUACCCUGGUAGUCCACGCCGUAAACGAUGUCGAUUUGGAGGUUGUGCCCUUGAGGCGUGGCUUCCGGAGCUAACGCGUUAAAUCGACCGCCUGGGGAGUACGGCCGCAAGGUUAAAACUCAAAUGAAUUGACGGGGGCCCGCACAAGCGGUGGAGCAUGUGGUUUAAUUCGAUGCAACGCGAAGAACCUUACCUGGUCUUGACAUCCACAGAACUUUCCAGAGAUGGAUUGGUGCCUUCGGGAACUGUGAGACAGGUGCUGCAUGGCUGUCGUCAGCUCGUGUUGUGAAAUGUUGGGUUAAGUCCCGCAACGAGCGCAACCCUUAUCCUUUGUUGCCAGCGGUCCGGCCGGGAACUCAAAGGAGACUGCCAGUGAUAAACUGGAGGAAGGUGGGGAUGACGUCAAGUCAUCAUGGCCCUUACGACCAGGGCUACACACGUGCUACAAUGGCAUAUACAAAGAGAAGCGACCUCGCGAGAGCAAGCGGACCUCAUAAAGUAUGUCGUAGUCCGGAUUGGAGUCUGCAACUCGACUCCAUGAAGUCGGAAUCGCUAGUAAUCGUAGAUCAGAAUGCUACGGUGAAUACGUUCCCGGGCCUUGUACACACCGCCCGUCACACCAUGGGAGUGGGUUGCAA